GACAGAGGUGCCAAGCGUUAGGCGGAAUCACUGGGCUUAAAGCGUGUGUAGGCGGAUCGUUAAGUACCUUGUGAAAUCCCACGGCUCAACCGUGGAACUGCUGGGUAUACUGGCGAUCUUGAGCCACCUAGGGGCGAGCGGAACAAGCGGUGGAGCGGUGAAAUGCGUAGAUAUCGCUUGGAACGCCAAUGGUGAAAACAGACAGCUGGGAGUGUGCUGACGCUGAGACACGAAAGCCAGGGGAGCGAACGGG
Molecule: ribosomal RNA, 253 nt
Filed under: uncultured bacterium
Lineage: Bacteria
Description: partial 16S ribosomal RNA
Rfam family: Bacterial small subunit ribosomal RNA
Source: RNAcentral